CAAACUCUUUGUUACAGCACCUUGUUUUUCUGUUUGUUUUUUUAAAUAUGAAGACAACCAUUGUUGUUUUGACUGACUCAUUGCAUGUUACAGCAACCUAAAUAAAUUGUGUUCAUCUGUUUGUUACAUGUCAAUAUGGUUGGAGAAGGGAACAUGGGAAAAAAACAUUUGUAGAUUACAGUUGAAUUUUUUAAACAGAAGAAUCUCUGCUUCUGUUUCUAAUGUCAAAUGUUCCUGUGACCCUGUCCGGUGUAGAUUCUAACCAAGAAAUUUCUUGUUGUGAGGCAACAGGGCAAAUCAUAUGGAGCCAGAUCAGGCUCAAAAGUAUUGAAAAGUAGUGUAAGUGAAAAAAUAAAAAGUGAAGUGGAAAAAUAAGAUUUGAACCUGAAAAAAAUAAAAUGGAGCCUGAAAGUCUUGAAUUUCGAAAUUGAACUUUGAAAAAUCCCACAAUGCAUGAAAAAAAAUCUGUUCAAAUGUAACUUUGAUUCUGUUUUUAAUACUUUUGAAUAAAUUACUUAUUUCUAUUUUUCACUUCAAUGUAUAUUUCGAUCUUGGAGUACUUUUUUUUUUUCGAUUGAAUUUUAUGUAUCCAUUUCAGAUUCAGAUUUUUUCGGUUUCAGAUUUUUAUUUUUCAGAUUCAGAUCUUUUUUCGGAUUCAACUUGAAAAGUUUCAGGUACACUUUUGACCCUGUUUUUCCGUGGGGGCGGGCCUCGACUGAGAGGGGCGCGGUCUGCCAUGAGUGACAGGCCUCCCCCUCCUUCCCCACCCCAUCACCCUGCGUUCAGGAAGUGGCAUGAAUACACAUUAGCUUAGCCUACAAUUAGGCUGUAUUGGCUGAAUGAGAUCGUGUUGGUUCGUUCCACUUUAGUGGUGCAAUGUAAACUGUGAUUCAUAAAAAAGCUCUAUUGAUAGUUAAUACUAAAAAAAACAUCUACUCAUGUCAUCCAGUCGAUUUUUAGUAAUCAGUGUUUCGGUGUUGAACUAUUUCCUUUCUGCGGUGUAUAGGCUGUAUUGAGACAGAGGAAAAAGUGCUUAGAAAGUGAAUCUCGUUCCACUUCAGUGGGGCAACAUAAACUGUGAUUCAUAAAAUAGCUCUAUUGAUAGUAAGUACUUAAAAAAAAAUCUACUCAUGCCAUCCUGUCGAUUUUUAGUAAUCAGUGUUUCGGUGUCGAACUAUUUCCCUUCUGCGGCGUAGUGAUACUUGCACACGUGCAAUCGAAUAUGCAAGGGGUGAAGCGAUUUUUGUCACGUGGACCAAUAGGGACCGAGUCUCGUUGCCAUAGUAUCAGAAAUACACAAACAUGGCGACGACCGCAUCUCGCAACGAGACAAGCGGAGAGGAACAAAAGAAAACGGCCUUCAAAAGUGCAUAAAAAAAGAACGAAACGAUGAUAUAUGCAUCUAUCAUCUGCUAUCUGUCGAGAGUGAAGACGUUCUCGACUUUACAAGGACACGUUGGGAAACUUACAGAACUAGUAUUGGAAAGUGGCUUUCUCUACAGGGUGAGACAAAGGACCUUGCAGAAACUUAUAAACUAUUUGAACGAAAUUCACUUUCCAGGCACUUUUCCACUUUUACUAUAUAAAUAAAGUUAUCAUUAAAAUGAUCACCUGCAGCACCAGCUAUAUAACAUGCCCUGCAGACCCUGAGAUGACACUGGGCAUCAGGCUUCCUGUUCUGGUGAUGAUCGUUAAGAACCUCCAGAAGUAUUUCACCUUCGAAGUCCAGGUUAUCCCAGAACACGUCUCCUCACUGGGGACAUAAACAUAAAGUAAAUCUUGAGUUUCUUGUACCAGUUGAAUGUUUUUUCAUGCUUUCUCUACAUUUUUGUAACUUUCAGGUGCUAGAUGAUCAAAAUGUUCGCAGACGGUUUCGGGUUAGCAACUACCGAAGCACGACAAAAGUGAAGCCGUUUUUCUGCACAAUGCCCAUGAGGUUGGAGGAUGGCUGGAACCAAUUCCAGUUCAACAGACUUCACAAGGAGAGCCUAUGGGACUAAUUAUGUGGAGACACUGCGUGUGCAGGUUAGAAAACUCAGACAGCCCAAAAACAGUCCUUAAAAGGCGCCUACACUCAGUUUUCUGAAUAAUCUCUGUAGCAGUGGCUAACUUUCUGUUUUCCCUUCUAGAUCCACGCUAACAUCCGAAUACGGAGAGUGUAUUUUUCUGACAGACAGUAUUCUGAGGAUGAGCUCCCAGCAGAGUUUAAACUCUCUCAUCCUCAUCCCAAGUUUUAGUUCUGAUUGUUAUGUUGUUGUUAUGUUAUGUUGUUGUAUUGUAAAUCUGAAGUUUUAGUUCUGAUUGAUAUGUUAUUGUUAUUGUUAUGUUAUGUUGUUGUAUUGUAAAUCUGAAGCUUUAGUUCUGAUUGUUGUGUUAUUGU
RNAcentral lists this long non-coding RNA (2380 nucleotides) under Xyrichtys novacula (pearly razorfish). Lineage: Eukaryota; Metazoa; Chordata; Actinopteri; Labriformes; Labridae. The record is from RNAcentral.